This 460-nucleotide ribosomal RNA is filed under the name uncultured bacterium. RNAcentral's name for it is "partial 16S ribosomal RNA". It matches the Rfam family "Bacterial small subunit ribosomal RNA", at positions 338 to 795 of the family's 1533-position model. The record is from RNAcentral.
CCUACGGGUGGCAGCAGUGAGGAAUAUUGGUCAAUGGACGAGAGUCUGAACCAGCCAAGUAGCGUGAAGGAUGACUGCCCUAUGGGUUGUAAACUUCUUUUAUAUGGGAAUAAAAUGUUCCACGUGUGGGAUUUUGUAUGUACCAUAUGAAUAAGGAUCGGCUAACUCCGUGCCAGCAGCCGCGGUAAUACGGAGGAUCCGAGCGUUAUCCGGAUUUAUUGGGUUUAAAGGGAGCGUAGGGGGAUUGUUAAGUCAGUUGUGAAAGUUUGGGGCUUAACCGUAAAAGUGAAGUUGAAACUGGCAGUCUUGAGUACAGUAGAGGUGGGUGGAAUUCGUGGUGUAGCGGUGAAAUGCUUAGAUAUCACGAAGAACUCCGAUGGCGAAGGCAGUUCACUGGACUGCAACUGACACUGAGGCUCGAAAGUGUGGGUAUCAAACAGGAUUAGAUACCCCAGUAGUC